RNAcentral lists this long non-coding RNA (203 nucleotides) under Elaeis guineensis (African oil palm). Its description in RNAcentral is "long non-coding RNA (EGUI_LNC060986)". The record is from RNAcentral. Lineage: Eukaryota; Viridiplantae; Streptophyta; Magnoliopsida; Arecales; Arecaceae.
GUGUGGUGUGUUCUUAAUUCUAGCUGAUGUGAACGUGGCUCUCCCCCCAACUUGGCUAUUAGCAUCACUUAUCCACUCGACUAUAAAGAUCCAACUUGGCUAAUUAUCUUUCUCAGAAAUUCCUACGAAAUGAAAACAAACAAAAAAAAGUUUUAUAAGCUGGGUUGCCUUCCAACAAGCACUAAAUUUAACAUUUUCAGUCG